This 679-nucleotide unclassified non-coding RNA is filed under the name Erwinia rhapontici. RNAcentral describes it as "partial contains 16S ribosomal RNA, 16S-23S ribosomal RNA intergenic spacer, and 23S ribosomal RNA". The stretch from base 345 to 417 matches the Rfam family "tRNA". Lineage: Bacteria; Pseudomonadati; Pseudomonadota; Gammaproteobacteria; Enterobacterales; Erwiniaceae. The record is from RNAcentral.
ACGUGUGUAGUGAGUACGCAGGUAUCUGUAGGGGAACCUGCGGUUGGAUCACCUCCUUACCUGAAGAUACCUUCCCGCGCAGUGUCCACACAGAUUGUCUGAUAAAAAAGUAACGAGCAGAAAAACCUCUACAGGCUUGUAGCUCAGGUGGUUAGAGCGCACCCCUGAUAAGGGUGAGGUCGGUGGUUCAAGUCCACUCAGGCCUACCAAAUUUUCACUCAUGCUGCGUUAUGUUUACGGCUCGCAUAGUGAACUAUGCGUCGCGAAAACACGCCUUGCCUGAGUAAAAAUUACAUCUCCUUUCUGGAAUGUAAUGGUAGUAAAAGGUUUCUGUAAGACUGUAUGGGGCUAUAGCUCAGCUGGGAGAGCGCCUGCCUUGCACGCAGGAGGUCAGCGGUUCGAUCCCGCUUAGCUCCACCAUACUGUUUUUCUAAUAAAAUACUUCAGAGUGUACUGGCUAACAGUAUGCUGCGAAGUAUUAUGCUCUUUAACAAUCCGGAACAAGCUGAAAAUUGAAACGACAUGUCGUUUUCAUUCUCCGUAAUAAGAAUGAAAUCUACGAUAUGUUCGAGUCUCUCAAAUGCUCGCAACGACAACACGUGUUCCGUAUGGGACGCUUGUGGGUUGUGAGGUUAAGCGACUAAGCGUACACAGAGGAUGCCUUUGUACACACUAACGU